RNAcentral lists this ribosomal RNA (383 nucleotides) under uncultured bacterium. RNAcentral's name for it is "bacterial SSU rRNA". It matches the Rfam family "Bacterial small subunit ribosomal RNA", at positions 28 to 417 of the family's 1533-position model. The record is from RNAcentral.
GACGAACGCUGGCGGCGUGCUUAACACAUGCAAGUCGAACGGUGAAGCCUUCGGGUGGAUCAGUGGCGAACGGGUGAGUAACACGUGAGCAAUCUGCCCUUGACUCUGGGAUAACUUCGGGAAACCGGAGCUAAUACCGGAUAUGACAUCUGGCCGCAUGGUCUGGGUGUGGAAAGAUUUAUCGGUCAAGGAUGAGCUCGCGGCCUAUCAGCUUGUUGGUGGGGAAUGGCCCACCAAGGCGACGACGGGUAGCCGGCCUGAGAGGGCGACCGGCCACACUGGGACUGAGACACGGCCCAGACUCCUACGGGAGGCAGCAGCGGGGAAUAUUGCGCAAUGGGCGGAAGCCUGACGCAGCGACGCCGCGUGAGGGAUGAAGGCCU